GCGCGCGCAGGAACUUGGAUCUCAACCCCAGGGCUAGGUGCCUCCUCCCGCUGCUUUCCGCCAGCUGCGGGGUGUGAGAUUAAUCCCCGCCGAUUAGCGCCAGGUGUACUAAUCCCUGGAUGGUUCCCUGACCAGAUGAAACAUCAGCCGAUGUUCUAAUGCCCGUCCCCUGGGCACUGUCCCCGAGAGGGAAAACCUGUUUUCUGACCCCGGCUCUAGUCGGCCUCUGGAGAUCUGCAGCUGGGUUAUUUUACUUCUGAAACGGACGACACCUGCCCCGCGCACCCCAGCGGCUCCUCCACACGGAGAGAUGGUGUCAGUCAAAGGCCGUCUAGAUGACGAGUUUAUGAAAUUGUUCCUGGCCCGUGCCGGGCACGACCUUGCAGAGAGCCCAGAAGAUGAAACCCCAGCCCUGCCAGGAGCUCACCUGCUAAUUAGGAGGACAACGAAUCACCUCACCUCCCUAGACUUUGCUUCUCCUUUAUUCAGUGAGGGAUUGGACUAGCUGGUCCUUAAGGACUUUUCAGAAAGUCUGGUUCUGGGAGAUGACCAAUGGGAUCAUCUUAUGCUAUGAGCUUUCCUGGAAUGACAGGUAAUGGAGAGUGAGGAGAUUUUACCUGAUAUGGUCCUGUUUGCACCGUCAGCCAGCAACCUUUCUGGGAAGCAUGCUUAUUAUGUACCAACAUAGAAGCUUGAAUAUAAGAACAGAACACAAGAACGGGGCUGAAGCUCUAACAGAAAAGACAUAAGACCCUUGAGAAAGCAUUACUUGAACACAAGGUUUCUGGGACAUUAAACAUGGGUAUAAGUGCUGCUAUAGUACCUUUCUGGGGAAGACUUCCUCCUGUCUCGGGGACUUAGGCAUCAUUAUCAAAGGCAGGGUGGGAUGAAGAAAGUAAGGUGAAUGCUCUGGUAGACUGAGAAGUCUAGGAUAUACAGGGGGACUUCAGGUGUCAAAACAAGAGGAGAAGGCUUCAGAAGCACACAAUGUCAGGGUUGGAAUUGAAGCCAGGUUGCAGCCCAAAGGGGACAGA
This 1034-nucleotide long non-coding RNA is filed under the name Homo sapiens (human). RNAcentral's name for it is "non-protein coding lnc-CLEC2D-2:4". The record is from RNAcentral. Lineage: Eukaryota; Metazoa; Chordata; Mammalia; Primates; Hominidae.